AUUGAACGCUGGCGGCAGGCCUAACACAUGCAAGUCGAGCGGAUGAAGGGAGCUUGCUCCUGGAUUCAGCGGCGGACGGGUGAGUAAUGCCUAGGAAUCUGCCUGGUAGUGGGGGAUAACGUCCGGAAACGGGCGCUAAUACCGCAUACGUCCUGAGGGAGAAAGUGGGGGAUCUUCGGACCUCACGCUAUCAGAUGAGCCUAGGUCGGAUUAGCUAGUUGGUGGGGUAAAGGCCUACCAAGGCGACGAUCCGUAACUGGUCUGAGAGGAUGAUCAGUCACACUGGAACUGAGACACGGUCCAGACUCCUACGGGAGGCAGCAGUGGGGAAUAUUGGACAAUGGGCGAAAGCCUGAUACAGCCAUGCCGCGUGUGUGAAGAAGGUCUUCGGAUUGUAAAGCACUUUAAGUUGGGAGGAAGGGCAGUAAGUUAAUACCUUGGUGUUUUGACGUUACCAACAGAAUAAGCACCGGCUAACUUCGUG
Molecule: ribosomal RNA, 484 nt
Filed under: uncultured bacterium
Lineage: Bacteria
Description: partial 16S ribosomal RNA
Rfam family: Bacterial small subunit ribosomal RNA
Source: RNAcentral